GAUCUCUUGCAGCAAACUUUUAAUGGUUUCUUUUGGUUCGAAUCCGAUUUGGAGAUCUG
This 59-nucleotide non-coding RNA is filed under the name Heterostelium album PN500. Lineage: Eukaryota; Evosea; Eumycetozoa; Acytosteliales; Acytosteliaceae. The record is from Rfam by way of RNAcentral.